GGAGAGACAAAGAGAAGAGCAGAAGAACAGAAGAAUGGAGUGGCAAAGAGAAGAGAAGGAGUGACUGAACAUUGACAAGACUUUGGUUGGGGAUGGUCAGAGAGGAGAUUAGCUGCUAGACGGCCACACUGCGGAGAAAGAUCAUUUUCCCACUCCAUCCCCCUUCCAGCUCCCCAUCCAUCUCACCAAGAGCCAGCUCCACCACUCAAUAAAACCUUACAUUCAUCUUUCCACCUCUUCAAGUGAGAUGGCAGACCACCUCAGGAUGGAAAUGUAUUUCUUCAUCCCCCUCUCUACUUCCCUGUGACCUCCUGCAAAUAAGGACUCCUCAUCUGUUUUUAAGAGGGAAAUCUGAGUUUUCAAGGAAAGCCGAAUACAGUUGCCAAGUUGCCAGUCAAAGAAACAAUGUCAACACCUGCUCAUAGAGAUGGAAUUCCUAACCCGGAAUAUUGCCCUUGAAUUACAACGAGAAAAAGCUUGGCAGAGAGCGCCCUGGGAAAUGCGGAUAUAGAAGGUCAGGAGAACAUCUCUCCUGGUUAUACAGCAUUCCAGGUGGGCUUUCAUGUGGUUGAGGAUAAUAUCAUUAGCACCAAAGGUGAAAAUCCGUGGAAGCUCAUCUUAUUUCAGCAGAAGAGUAGGAUGGGCCUUGUGGCACGAGUAAGCCAAACAAGGGAAAGGCAUUCACCAUCAAUU
This 693-nucleotide long non-coding RNA is filed under the name Homo sapiens (human). RNAcentral's name for it is "ADAPT40". The record is from RNAcentral. Lineage: Eukaryota; Metazoa; Chordata; Mammalia; Primates; Hominidae.